This 230-nucleotide long non-coding RNA is filed under the name Elaeis guineensis (African oil palm). RNAcentral's name for it is "long non-coding RNA (EGUI_LNC067017)". The record is from RNAcentral. Lineage: Eukaryota; Viridiplantae; Streptophyta; Magnoliopsida; Arecales; Arecaceae.
CUCUCUCUACCUAUGGAGAUACAUCUAAAGAAUGCUCCACUUGAAUACCAUGUCCUCUUGAUGCACUUGCAAGAGGCAAAAGAGAAUAGGAUGUAAGUUGUCCAGUGUUGCCCUGCUGGACCUCUUGCUGCUCUUGCUACUCCUCCAUGCCAUCUUGCCUUUGGAGAACUAAAUUUUUAUUGAAGAUGACAUUCCUACUGAUGACAACCUUCCUUUUCAAGGUAUCCCAC